GCCCCCGUAGUUCAACGGAUAGAACAAGGGUUUCCUAAACCUUAGAUGUAGGUUCGAUUCCUGCCGGGGGCACCA
This 75-nucleotide transfer RNA is filed under the name Verrucomicrobiales bacterium. RNAcentral describes it as "tRNA-Arg". It matches the Rfam family "tRNA". From Rfam's summary of the family: Transfer RNA (tRNA) molecules are approximately 80 nucleotides in length. Their secondary structure includes four short double-helical elements and three loops (D, anti-codon, and T loops). Lineage: Bacteria; Pseudomonadati; Verrucomicrobiota; Verrucomicrobiia; Verrucomicrobiales. The record is from RNAcentral.